GAGUUGCACCUCAGUACUCUCCAGCCCGUCACCCCAGCACCCGCUCCGGACCCGGCUCACCUGCGCGGCCACCCCCGUCCCGGCGCUGGCUGCCGAUAGGUCCUUCCAGUAAAGGGCUGGUUCUUCAGUACUGCCAAUGAGAAGGCUCAAAGAAGAGGAUCGUCACACCCAGUCUCAGCUCAGUUGCUCUCUGUCCUACAAGUCAAAGACCAGAUGGUCCCCAAAGAGAAUACUGACAAGCUGUGAAAAUGAUAUGCUUAUAUAUGUGAACACAUUUUCAGAGAAAAGAAAAAGCAGUAUUUAAGAUACUAUUAAGACAACGCUUCUC
This 328-nucleotide long non-coding RNA is filed under the name Mus pahari (shrew mouse). Its description in RNAcentral is "predicted gene 11521 (MGP_PahariEiJ_G0002599.1)". The record is from RNAcentral. Lineage: Eukaryota; Metazoa; Chordata; Mammalia; Rodentia; Muridae.